AGAGUUUGAUCCUGGCUCAGAUUGAACGCUGGCGGCAUGCCUUACACAUGCAAGUCGAACGGUAACAGGUUAAGCUGACGAGUGGCGAACGGGUGAGUAAUGUAUCGGAACGUGCCCAGUCGUGGGGGAUAACUGCUCGAAAGAGCAGCUAAUACCGCAUACGACCUGAGGGUGAAAGCGGGGGAUCGCAAGACCUCGCGCGAUUGGAGCGGCCGAUAUCAGAUUAGGUAGUUGGUGAGGUAAAGGCUCACCAAGCCGACGAUCUGUAGCUGGUCUGAGAGGACGACCAGCCACACUGGGACUGAGACACGGCCCAGACUCCUACGGGAGGCAGCAGUGGGGAAUUUUGGACAAUGGGCGCAAGCCUGAUCCAGCCAUGCCGCGUGCGGGAAGAAGGCCUUCGGGUUGUAAACCGCUUUUGUCAGGGAAGAAAAGGUUCUGGCUAAUACCUGGGACUCAUGACGGUACCUGAAGAAUAAGCACCGGCUAACUACGUGCCAGCAGCCGCGGUAAUUC
Molecule: ribosomal RNA, 516 nt
Filed under: uncultured bacterium
Lineage: Bacteria
Description: bacterial SSU rRNA
Rfam family: Bacterial small subunit ribosomal RNA
Source: RNAcentral